AGUGAACGCUGGCGGUAGGCCUAACACAUGCAAGUCGAACGGCAGCACAGUAAGAGCUUGCUCUUACGGGUGGCGAGUGGCGGACGGGUGAGGAAUACAUCGGAAUCUACUUUUUCUUGGGGGAUAACGUAGGGAAACUUACGCUAAUACCGCAUACGACCUACGAGUGAAAGCAGGGGAUCUUCGGACCUUUCGCGAUUGAAUGAGCCGAUGUCGGAUUAGCUAGUUGGCGGGGUAAAGGCCCACCAAGGCGACGAUCCGUAGCUGGUCUGAGAGGAUGAUCAGCCACACUGGAACUGAGACACGGUCCAGACUCCUACGGGAGGCAGCAGUGGGGAAUAUUGGACAAUGGGCGCAAGCCUGAUCCAGCCAUACCGCGUGGGUGAAGAAGGCCUUCGGGUUGUAAAGCCCUUUUGUUGGGAAAGAAAAGCAGCAGGUUAAUACCCCGCUGUUCUGACGGUACCCAAAGAAUAAGCACCGGCUAACUUCGUG
RNAcentral lists this ribosomal RNA (492 nucleotides) under uncultured bacterium. RNAcentral's name for it is "partial 16S ribosomal RNA". It matches the Rfam family "Bacterial small subunit ribosomal RNA", at positions 29 to 507 of the family's 1533-position model. The record is from RNAcentral.